RNAcentral lists this long non-coding RNA (372 nucleotides) under Pan troglodytes (chimpanzee). Its description in RNAcentral is "long non-coding RNA NONPTRT016401". Lineage: Eukaryota; Metazoa; Chordata; Mammalia; Primates; Hominidae. The record is from RNAcentral.
UUGCCAUUCUGACUGGCGUGAGAUGGUAUCUCACUGUGGUUUUGAUUUGCAUUUCUCUAAUGAUCAGUGAUGUUGAGCUUUUUUUCAUGUUUGUUGGCUGCAGAAAUGUCUUUUGAAAAGUGUCUGUCAUAUCCUUUGCCCAGUUUUUGAUGGGGUUGUUUUUUUUGUUUUGUUUUGUUUUUUAUAAAUUUGUUUAAGUUCCUUGUAAAUUCUGGAAAUUAGUUCAACCAUUGUGGAAAACAGUGUGGUGAUUCCUUGAGGAUCUAGAACCAGAAAUACCAUUUGAUCCAGCCAUCCCAUUACUGAGUAUAGGAGCUCAAUAACUGCCAGGCAAGUUGCUGCAGCCAUGAUAUGGUGUAGCCAUUGGGAAGU